Molecule: unclassified non-coding RNA, 200 nt
Filed under: soil metagenome
Description: partial contains 5.8S ribosomal RNA, internal transcribed spacer 2, and large subunit ribosomal RNA
Source: RNAcentral
CUCUAGUAACUUGGAGGCAUGCCUGUCUGAGCGUCAUUUAAAACCAUAGACCCAAUUGGGUUUGUAUUGGGCUUUGCCUCUGGGCGUCGCCUCAAAGUCAUCGGUCUUGAACGCGGACGAGUUCCAUUAGGACAGACCGUGUCUAGACUUUAAACCUCUGACUUGACCUCAGAUCAGGUAGGAUUACCGCCUGAACUUAA